GGCUCCGCCUCCGCCUCUAACCCCUCCCCGCCGGGCCCGGACCACGCUAGCCGCUGCCUAGCCCGGGCUCCCGGCAGGAGGGCGCCCGGGCCCAGUACCCGAGUGCCCCGGUCUCUAGAGGGCUACGGAGCGCGUCUGCCUCCAGGACCGGGUAUUUGACUGAGCAGCCUGCGAAGUAGAGCGCGGAAGGUCCGCAGUGGGUGCGGCGCGGCGCAGUCGGGGCUAGCCCACUUGCUCAGCGUAGCUUUUCUAGAGCGUCGGGGGUCUCGAGGGGCCGGGGUUGGACAGCAGCUGCGCGACUCCGAGGGACUCUUCUCUGCAGAUCCAGGCCCGCACCUAUCUGCAGAUGUUCUUCCAUAGAGCAAUUCUCUGCACUUCUUAGAAACAACUGUUGCUUAUACAACUGUUGCUUAUAGCAGAAGACAGCCUUUAUCUCUUCCAGUGAUCCACAGACUUGAUGAAAUCAGUUCGGGCCUCAGAGAGAAGAUGAAUUGUAAGCAAAAUUCAAAAAUCACGAUUCUGGGGAAAAAGACCCCCAAAUCCAGAGCCCUGUAGUACCAGCCCUGCUAGUUCAACUGAAGGCUGCAGCAUGCCCUGAUCUAAACGGGAAAACACAACAAGGAAAAUAUCAGAAGCACAAGCCAGAGCUGUUGUCCUCCUUACUCAUCCACUCAUCCAUCAAGAUAAGUCAGAGAUCAAAAGGAAUUCCCUCUCCAUCCUCCAAGAAAGACACUUGAGGAGACAAUUAGUAACAUGGUGAGAGGAGCUGGAUCUCAAGUCCCCAAAGCACAAAGUAAGAAGCAGCCAGCUCUGCCAAGAGACAGGAAAAAACCCUGACUGGACCUUCAGAGACAGAUCAGGAGGAUCAAGGAAACUCCAAUCGAGCACAUCACAUGGGUAAAGUCUUCAGACUCUAUGCCUGGUCUGCAGGACAGUGGGCUAGCAAUUCAUAACGGUUGGAGCCUGGGUCAGGAGGGAGAGGAGCCCGUGUGGCUUGGGGAGGUGGCUGUCAAACAACCUGCUGAGGGACUUGAGCUUCAUUCUGGAAGACACAGGAAGAUGUGGCAGGGUUUUGAGAAGGGGUGUGGCUUUGCAAAGACUUCUUUGGCAGGAAGGAAAGUGUGCUAGGUUUCCACAGCAGCCAGCUUAUCAACGUUCCUCCAGCCCUGCUGAAUUCAGAAUCUCAGGACAUCUGUUCCUCCCGCCACCUUCCUGAUGGCCUACUCGUUUUAUUUUGAAGCACAUACAGUAUCUCUUCGUUUCCAGCAUCGUCCCCAUUAUCCACUACUUCCUCCCAACCGCGCUUUCUAAACUGCUGAGGAUGGAAGAGAAAGCAGACUGGACUUGCAGUAUACAUUUCACACUCUCAUCCAACAAGCAACUUAGCCGCUGACACACUGCCAGCUGGUCCCAUCAAGUCAGGUGGCAUGGGUCACCCAACAAGCUGCCUGUUGGAAUAGCUGGCUGUUACAUAGCCUGUUAAGAACCAGGCGAACAAGACCACCAAAAUGUGGCAGCUGCUGUCCAGACAAGACACCUUCAGGCAGAGCUGGGUGCAGCCCGGUGACUCGUGCAGACAACAUCUGGGUUUUAGUUGGAAGACGGCCUCUGCAUUGGAUGAAGCUCUUCCCACAGACAAAAGUUGGAAACAAAGUCAGAAACAGAAAAUGAGAUUUAAAAAAAAACAAAACAAACCCAAGGCAAUCUUCUUUUGAAAGGUCAGUUCAUUUACUUACAGGGAAGCAGAGAUCUUGCAGCAAUUGCUGUAACUACAUUCCCAUUGACUUCCUGGUGGUGAUUUUUAUCUUUAACACCCCCUACUGGUUUGCCUGAUGGUUUUAGGGUUAUUGUUUCCCUCCCCCUACCCCUUAAAAGUUCUUUUCAAAAACUUUUAUUAGUUGUCUGUCACCUUUCUACUCCCUGGUUUCUUAAUUCUCCUUGGAAAAAAAAAAAAAAAAGCUAGAACCUGAUCUAAUGGCACAAGUCUAUAGUCCUAGCACCCCAGAGGCUGAAGCAGGAGGAUAUUGAGGUCAGCUUGGGCUACAUGAUAACUUGAAGACCCUGUCAAUAAUGAUUAUUAUAAUGAUAAUGAUAGUUGAGAGGUAUCAGUAACAAGAACAAAACACUUGCAUGUCUCUUCGUAUAAAUCCCUUCCCCACAGCCCUCCCUCCACAUGCAAUAAACAGACCUUUACGGAGCUUCAUAAUCUGCUGCAUGACUCAUGCAUGCAUCCAAGGUCACCAUGGGCCUUACAUCUCUGCAUACUUAGGGGUAGUUAUCUAAACACAAAUCAGGAACGUGUGGAUUCACAGGGUGUUAAAGCAGGGCAGGGACGCCUUAUGAAUAAAGUUCCAGGAAGAUGGGCUGAGGUAGACCUUAACCUAGAGGUUGUUUCUUUCACCCAAGUGUUUGAUAGCAGGCUCCAACUGUGACUUUAAUUCCUUCAUGGAGGUCACUAUUUGAGGAGAAGAAGCAGGAAACUGCUGUGUGGUGCUUAAUUCUUAGCUGUCAGGCUGGUAGGUUUUAGAAUCACCUACAAGACAAACCUCUGGGCGUGGCUGUAAGGAAGUUUCCAGAGAAGCUUCAUGGAGCCACAACUCAGUGAGCUGGAGACGAUUCGAAAGGAGAAACCAAGCUAAGCACCAGUGUUUGUCUCUCUCUGCUUCAGACUGCAGAUGCCCUGUGGAUGGCUACCUUCCUCUCUGUGAUGGACUGCACCCUUGAGCCAGCCCAAAGAAACACUUCUUUCCCUGAGUCACAUUCACCGGGCAUUUUUUCACAGCAAAGAGGAAAGUGACUAACACAAGUUGUUACCCCAUUUCUGCUAGAUCUGGGCUCCUUUCAUUAGUCAACAUGACAUGGAUUGAACACCCACUCUGCCCUACUACUGAUCUACAAUGAAGGUGCCGGAACAAGGAAGUUAUGGGAACAAGACAGAGUUGGUUCAAAGAGAUGAUCGACAACAGCGCAGACAUGAAUGAGCAGGAUAAUGCAUGAUGACAGCCCAGUGAAGACCAUAAAGCAGAGGAUCCGGGGGCCAAGGAGAAUAUGUCUGCCCUGUGGUCAGGGAGGUCAACUUUUGGGGAAGUAUUUAACAUUGUCCCUGAGGCCUGUGCUUUGAAUCUUCUUGGCCCAUUUCUUAAUAUCAUGGCUCUCAUGACUUGAUCUUAGUGCCUUUCCUCCGCCAUUUCAGCUGUAGGACCCCAGGAAGGCUUCUCAGAGCCUCCCACAGCAAGCCAUAUGCUAUCCUACUACUUAUAAACCCACACUCUAUAAUGGUCCUUCACUCUGGCACCUCAUUAUAGAAAGUAGGAUGAAGUUGGCACCGAGAAUGAUUCCUAUUUGCUUCAGCCACAGUAAUCUCUUCAUUUUCUAAGACUUCAGUUAUGUGUGUUCAAUCAUCAUGGGAAAAUAUUGAAAAGAAAAUUAUUAGAAAUAAGCAGUUUAUUAAUUUAAGUGACUUUUAUUAUAGCAUUUUGUUAUAUGGCUCUACUUUGUUAUUAGUUGUUGGUAAUCAUUUACUAUGCUUUAUAAAUUAUUUGUCAAUAUUAAUAUUUGUUUAUAGGAGAAAAGAGUGCAUAUAGGAUUUGAUGCUAUCUGGGUUUCAAGCAUUCACUGGGGGUCUGGGAAUGGAUCCUCUGAGAUAAAAGGGGCAUGUCUCUUUUAAUACGCAUAAGGUUUACACUGCAGUACUGCUAAGUUCACUUUACUAUUUGGGACUCUGCUGAAAUUAUCUCUUUGCAGAGGAAGAGUAUCUCACCACCCACAUCAGCUUCCUCCUUCACCCAGAACAGAUUCCCAGAAAAUAAAAGUUCCUAAGACUGUUCUAGAAAGUUCAGAGACACAGAUGAGAACUUUGCUCUUUAAUCAUGCUUCAGGAAUGCAGGUGUUAUCUGUACACACUAUUAUCAAUUGUCUUUGAGAUCGCUGGCUAGAGUAAGCUUGGUCAUGAUUUCUAAUCAUUAGAGAUAGGUUGGGAGUUUUCAAUUCAUUUAUUCUCUUUAUUGUAGCUAAUUGAAGAAUACGUUGCCUUUGGAUUCAAAUAGCCAUUACUGGUUCUCUUUGCCAAGCCCUAUGCAAGACAUAUCUCCUUGGGAUUUUGUGAUGGCUUAGUGCUCUGUGUCAGGGAUAGAGAGGUGAGGCUCAGGUGAAUUAAGGGCUAGCUCAAAGUCAAAUGUAGGGGUAGAAACACGUGCAAGUCUUCUGACCCCAGUACAUGGACUUGCAGGCUGGAGCUCUCCUACCUUUCUUUUUACACACAGUAUUGACUCACAUCUUGAGGAAACUGAGGUUAAAUGUAAUGCGCAAGCAUUCAUCUUUGUAAAGAUUUGUUUCAUUGGGACCACUGGUUACAAGUGAAAGCUACAGUGGAUGUGUCCAUGACAUAGAUUAAACACGAUUACAGAGGAGGUGGUGUAUCCCUCACAUCUUGACUUCUCUUACGUUUAAUAUAACCCUGAAGAGGACACAGAAGUUCAAAUAGAGCAUAUGGCAUUCAUAAGGUUACAUACAUGUAAUCAUACAUGAUACUUUUAUUGUAAAUAAAAAACACUAUUUAUAAUGGCAACAAGUGCAUUAUACAGAUAAAACAUAGGACUGCAGCUUCAUUAUUUAUUAAAGGAAAGAAAAAAAAUCUACACAAGUGAUCGGGGAAACAUAGUCUUACUCUGGUGGCAUUUGUCCCUAGAUUGUCCCUAGAUUGCUUUACAGAUUUCAUCACAAUUCAAAUCAAAAUCAUAGCAGGAAUUUGUGGGAUUGUGAUAAACUCAUUUUGAGUUUUCUAUGAAAGUAAUAAAGGCUUUUGAGUAAUCAACACUGAAAAAGAAAACACAGGAAUGGGAGCACUCGACUAGUAAAUGAGACAUUGUUGAGAAGGUGCAGAACAAACAAAUAAACCGAUGGAGAAUCCCUAAAGCAAGGUCACUUGUGCUGCAGUGCACUGACAGAACUCAACACAGCAGCUGUUCUUCAUCGGAGAGGCUGCGACCAUGUAAAAUCAGGAAAUCUUCAAGAUCAGGCCUGUUGACCACUGAUGCUCCCUUACAGGGGAAAAGGUGGAGAGAACAUGGGGAAGCUUAUUACACCUUCUCUUGAGACUCCAGCUUUUUCUUCCUGAACCUCCCAGCCAGUUGUAUAUAAUUCUGUUCCACCUGCACAUGGUCUCAUAGUCUUGGGAGUAUACAGUCUGUGGCAGGCUAGUGGAAGGGAGUGACUCCAUAUUUGCAGUGGUGGGGAAGUCACCCAUCAUUGACAUUGGGAGUGGUUGUGUGGCUACUUUGGGGUCAUUAAUAUACCUAUAAAUAAUUCUUCACCCAUGCUCUGUAAGUAAAAAUAAAGUUAUUAACUCAC
RNAcentral lists this small RNA (5349 nucleotides) under Rattus norvegicus (Norway rat). RNAcentral describes it as "uncharacterized LOC103691652". The record is from RNAcentral. Lineage: Eukaryota; Metazoa; Chordata; Mammalia; Rodentia; Muridae.